This 253-nucleotide ribosomal RNA is filed under the name uncultured bacterium. RNAcentral describes it as "partial 16S ribosomal RNA". It matches the Rfam family "Bacterial small subunit ribosomal RNA", at positions 524 to 776 of the family's 1533-position model. The record is from RNAcentral.
UACAGAGGUCUCAAGCGUUGUUCGGAUUCAUUGGGCGUAAAGGGUGCGUAGGUGGCGCUGUAAGUCGGGUGUGAAAUUUCGGAGCUUAACUCCGAAACUGCAUUCGAUACUGCGGUGCUUGAGGACUGGAGAGGAGACUGGAACUCAUGGUGUAGCAGUGAAAUGCGUAGAGAUCAUGAGGAAGACCAGUGGCGAUGGCGGGUCUCUGGACAGUUCCUGACACUGAGGCACGAAGGCCAGGGGAGCAAACGGG